UACGUAGGGGGCAAGCGUUGUCCGGAUUCAUUGGGCGUAAAGAGCGUGUAGGCGGCCAGGUAGGUCGGUUGUGAAAACUGGAGGCUCAACCUUCAGAGGUCGACCGAAACCAUCUGGCUAGAGUCCGGGAGAGGAGAGUGGAAUUCCUGGUGUAGCGGUGAAAUGCGCAGAUAUCAGGAAGAACACCCGUGGCGAAGGCGGAUCUCUGGGCCUUACCUGACGCUCAGGCACGAAAGCUAGGGGAGCGAACAGG
This 253-nucleotide ribosomal RNA is filed under the name uncultured bacterium. RNAcentral's name for it is "partial 16S ribosomal RNA". It matches the Rfam family "Bacterial small subunit ribosomal RNA", at positions 524 to 776 of the family's 1533-position model. The record is from RNAcentral.